UUUUGUGUGAUGGUGUUUUCGCUAUUAGUCUCUUAAGUUGAGACGAGAAUCUGCCGCCUAAUAAAAGACUUGUGGCUAGAAUCUUUAGCUUUUAGGGCUUACACAAUGAUAGACGCCCACUUGGGU
Molecule: non-coding RNA, 126 nt
Filed under: Helicobacter pullorum
Lineage: Bacteria; Pseudomonadati; Campylobacterota; Epsilonproteobacteria; Campylobacterales; Helicobacteraceae
Description: purD RNA motif
Rfam family: purD RNA motif
Source: RNAcentral